This 279-nucleotide ribosomal RNA is filed under the name uncultured bacterium. RNAcentral describes it as "partial 16S ribosomal RNA". It matches the Rfam family "Bacterial small subunit ribosomal RNA", at positions 28 to 309 of the family's 1533-position model. The record is from RNAcentral.
GACGAACGCUGGCGGCGUGCUUAACACAUGCAAGUCGAGCGGUAAGGCCCUUUCGGGGGUACGACGAGCGGCGAACGGGUGAGUAACACGUGGGUGACCUGCCCUUAGCUCUGGGAUAAGCCUGGGAAACUGGGUCUAAUACCGGAUAUGACUCCAUAACGCAUGUUGUGGGGUGAAAGCCUUGUGCGGCUAGGGAUGGGCCCGCGGCCUAUCAGCUUGUUGGUGGGGUGAUGGCCACCAAGGCGACGACGGGUAGCCGGCCUGAGAGGGCGACCGGCC